RNAcentral lists this ribosomal RNA (433 nucleotides) under uncultured bacterium. RNAcentral describes it as "partial 16S ribosomal RNA". It matches the Rfam family "Bacterial small subunit ribosomal RNA", at positions 29 to 507 of the family's 1533-position model. The record is from RNAcentral.
AACGAACGCUGGCGGCAUGCCUAACACAUGCGAGUCGAACGAGACCUUCGGGUCUAGUGGCGCACGGGUGCGUAACGCGUGGUAACCUGCCCUUAGGUUCGGAAUAACUCCCCGAAAGGGGUGCUAAUACCGGAUAAUGUCUUCGGACCAAAGAUUUCUCGCCUUUGGAUGGGCCCGCGUUGGAUUAGCUAGUUGGUAGGGUAAAAGCCUACCAAGGCGACGAUCCAUAGCUGGUCUGAGAGGAUGAUCAGCCACACUGGGACUGAGACACGGCCCAGACUCCUACGGGAGGCAGCAGUGGGGAAUAUUGGACAAUGGGCGAAAGCCUGAUCCAGCAAUGCCGCGUGAGUGAUGAAGGCCUUAGGGUUGUAAAGCUCUUUUACCCGGGAUGAUAAUGAUAGUACCGGGAGAAUAAGCGCCGGCUAACUCCGUG